UUCUAAAAGAAUUAAUUUUUAGUAAACCCUGCUCAAUGAAAUUUAAAUAGCCGCAAAAUUUGUGCUAAGGUAGCAUAAUAAUUUGCCUAAUAAUUAUAGGAUAGUAUGAAUGGGAUAACAUGUAAUCUUCUUUAUUAUCUAGAUUAUUCUAAUUUAUUUCGUAAGCAAGAAUACUUACAAAACUAGGGGGACGAUAAGACCCUGUCAAACUUAACCUUUAAAAGUUUAGCUGGGGCGGCAGAAAAUCAAACCUUUACUCCUGGAGAACAAUAAAGCCCGUAUAAUAGAUAAACAAGUUACUGCAGGGAUAACAGCACAAUUACUCCUAAAAGACCUUAUAAAAUGGGUAGUUUGUGACCUCGAUGUUGAAUAAAGAUCUUUUUGAGGCAGUCCUCUAACAAGAAAGUCUGUUCGACUUUUAAACCAUUACA
RNAcentral lists this ribosomal RNA (431 nucleotides) under Aname tepperi. RNAcentral's name for it is "partial 16S ribosomal RNA". It matches the Rfam family "Bacterial large subunit ribosomal RNA", at positions 1831 to 2600 of the family's 2925-position model. The record is from RNAcentral. Lineage: Eukaryota; Metazoa; Arthropoda; Arachnida; Araneae; Anamidae.